CAGUCGCCGCGGGAAUACGUAGGUGGCAAGCGUUGUCCGGAAUUAUUGGGCGUAAAGGGCUCGCAGGCGGUUUCUUAAGUCUGAUGUGAAAGCCCCCGGCUCAACCGGGGAGGGUCAUUGGAAACUGGGAAACUUGAGUGCAGAAGAGGAGAGUGGAAUUCCACGUGUAGCGGUGAAAUGCGUUGAGAUCGGAAAGAACACCAACGGCAAAAGCACUCUGCUGGGCCGACACUGACACUGAGAGACGAAAGCUAGGGGAGCAAAUGGGAUUAGAUACCCGCGUAGUCCCUGUCUCUUAUAC
RNAcentral lists this ribosomal RNA (301 nucleotides) under uncultured bacterium. RNAcentral's name for it is "partial 16S ribosomal RNA". It matches the Rfam family "Bacterial small subunit ribosomal RNA", at positions 509 to 807 of the family's 1533-position model. The record is from RNAcentral.